ACGCACGCUGGCGGCGUGCCUAAUACAUGCAAGUCGAACGCUUCUUUCCUCCCGAGUGCUUGCACUCAAUUGGAAAGAGGAGUGGCGGACGGGUGAGUAACACGUGGGUAACCUACCCAUCAGAGGGGGAUAACACUUGGAAACAGGUGCUAAUACCGCAUAACAGUUUAUGCCGCAUGGCAUAAGAGUGAAAGGCGCUUUCGGGUGUCGUUGAUGGAUGGACCCGCGGUGCAUUAGCUAGUUGGUGAGGUAACGGCUCACCAAGGCCACGAUGCAUAGCCGACCUGAGAGGGUGAUCGGCCACACUGGGACUGAGACACGGCCCAGACUCCUACGGGAGGCAGCAGUAGGGAAUCUUCGGCAAUGGACGAAAGUCUGACCGAGCAACGCCGCGUGAGUGAAGAAGGUGUUCGGAUCGUAAAACUCUGUUGUUAGAGAAGAACAAGGACGUUAGUAACUGAACGUCCCCUGACGGUAUCUAACCAGAAAGCCACGGCUAACUACGUG
RNAcentral lists this ribosomal RNA (507 nucleotides) under uncultured bacterium. RNAcentral describes it as "partial 16S ribosomal RNA". It matches the Rfam family "Bacterial small subunit ribosomal RNA", at positions 29 to 507 of the family's 1533-position model. The record is from RNAcentral.